AUUCAGCCAGGAUCUCAGCUGAUUUGGGUUAUUUUCCAGGUAGAAUGACUCAAACAAUUCUCAAAGGGUCUAGGUCAUCAAUCGAUGUGUCUCUUUUUGGUUGCCAUACUUUUCAUUAACUUUUCCUACUGGAUAUGGAGGUACUAAGAGGCACUCCAGAGAGUCCAGUGGAUUGUAGAUAAAAUCUCCCUUGUGCAGCAGUGACUCAGUUUCCUCUUGGCGUUCAAGAUCAACUACUCCAACAAACAUGGUAACUCCCCCACCUGUCUGCUCAAGGGGCAUCAGGAGCCCAAAACGGUCAGGUAGAAGUCUCAUCUUCCAAUUUAGGGGGAGCACCAUUGUGUCCUCUGAUGGAAGUAUAUGUCCCCUUUAGGGACUAAGACAUCCAAACACACACAGCCCAAAGCUUCUCAGACGAUAAGCAGAGAUUAAGCAUCAUCGUGAGAAGAACCAUCCUCAUUCGUUGAUUCUGGGAAUUCAUACUCAGAGAAGAACUGGUUGAGCCCUGAUGCAGGAUUGUGAAGGCAUACUGUUUGCCCCGCCAAGUGAAAGCAGAGAUCAUCUUGUGUUCCUUCCAAAUUGGUGCGGAAAUAAAGGCUUGGCGGGGUCCCUAGCCUCGUACCAAGUGUCAGAGUUCCCGUGGAUUUGUUCCAGUGAAGAUGAUACACUGGAAACAGAAGCACCUGCCGUCACUAUCUGAGUUAAGUUUGCAGCAGCCCCCGUCAUCCUCCAAGAUCUAUCCGACGUGAUCGCAGGGUGAGUCAGAUGGGAACGUGACAGAUGCCAUCACCCCCUAUGUUUUCAAAUCUUUGGCGGCAAUAUCAAUCACUGCAGUUUUUCCAGAGAGGAGGUAUUGCUUCUAGUUCACAAUCCUGAUCAGGAGAGGACAUUCCAUGGACUUUCACUUGGACAUUCCGGCCAUCAAGACAGCACCCCAUGGUCAGAGAGUUACUUUGGGGGCAAAUGAAGCCCCCUGUGAGUCGGAUUUGAACUAAGUCUCUAUUAUUUCACUGCUGUAAGCCCCACUUUGACUGUUGAGUCAUCGUGGCAUCAGCUCGGAACUACGACCUAAUAAUCCCAUAAGGAUCAUCGCAUUAUGCCCCAGUGAGCUCUCAUAAAGGACUACGGGACUCUUGUUACACUGGGUGUUUGCAACAAUGGUACAGGGUCCUUCCUCAGGUUACUUGGCUUCUCCUUCAGUCGAAGAGCUCUGGGUCUGUGAACCGACUGAGGUCUGGAAACUCACUGAGAGGCCACGAUUCUUCACUGUGGUGAUUCAAGUCAGGGUUGUGGCUCCAGAUCUAGAGUUUAUUAACUCAGUCAAGGAAGUUACUGCAAUCUUAGCCCUGCUUCCAUAAGAAAACGGAGAUCUUUCCGAGGCCAUCGUGGAAGCUCUCAGACAGCCAAUGAAGCUGAAAGCUACAGGAAGUGACUGUGUCAUUUUCUUUUCAGAAAUGCUCAAGUGCACUGAAAGAAAUCACUCCCAGAUCGCGGGGCUCAUAGUUGUCAUUUGAGCCAUAAAGUCAAGUGCAGCAACCACUUGGUGUCCAAAGCACUUACUUCAACUGGCACCUCCUCAGAAUCAAAUACAGGGGAGAGACUCUAAAGAAUUCCCAGAGGCCAAGAGACGAUACCUAAAGAAGGAACACACUUAGAGAGGAGGACCCAGCGUAAAGUUGGUGUUUAGACCUUGUUGGAGGCACGUCAGUCCUCCGAAUGGAAAAGAAGUUCCCUGGGCUGUUCCAGGACCGGGAAAGUGGGAGACAGCCCUCCGAGGUGUGGCUGCAUGAUGUGGCUAUGGGUACCUGAGGGGAGUCAAGGGUGGGAGGGCCACACGGAGCGGUCCACAGAGAGGUGACCACCCGGCCAGGGUCAGGGCCGGGGCUACAAGCCCACAAGGGGCUGGGGCUCCAGAACACUGGCCGGAGAAGAGUGCCAAUGGAGUUUCCUCACACAUACGGCUGCCACCAGGAGUCAGGACCACUCCAGUGUCAGAAAGAGAAGCCCUCCCUCCUGAAACGCCUACCCGUGCUCUCUGCAGAAGGACGUGUUCCAUUGUCGCAGAAGCAGGUGAUGGGGGCAGAAUUUCGGGCCGGGGAUCCUGGCACAGAUCCUAGUCUUUGAGCCCCGUCUCCUGCUUGAACCUGACCACUCCCACCCUCCCUGGGUUCCUUGCUCCCCUUCUCCUCUCCUCUGCGGCCUGAGUCUGGCCACACAUACCACCUACAACCGCUGCUGAGGUUUUCCAAGAGGGGAAGUUCCCGGGGGAGAUGGAGGGAGAGAGUCCAACACGUUCACUUAUGUUCUUUAAUACAUCAUCUCUUUGGGUGAUGCUGAGACCCGGUCCCGGGUAAGCAUGUGGUUGUGGUCUCAGUUCUCUUCCCCUUCCUCCCAUAUCACACAUCACACAGUUGUCAGGUUGUGUCUCCAAUCCCUUCUGAUCUGCAGCAGAGAUGGCUGCAAGUUGCCUGGUUCCCAGAUGGCCUGUGGGAGCGUUAGCAACUUAACAUGCGGGAUUCUCCUAAUACUGACUGCCUGAUUAUGUUGCUCCCAGAGAGCUGGGCAGGGGCUGGGGUGGGGGGUUGCUGGCUCAGAUUCUGGAUGUGAAGUCGCCCCAAUUCGAAUCCCCGAUUAAACGAUUAAACAUUCCAGGAAUGGCUUCUAGGUGAUCACUGCCAGGAGCUUGCGGAAGACUCCCGUGACAAGUCUUUCCUGUUAAACUGUGUUCACUUACAGCUACAAAUAAAAAUUUUCCAAUU
Felis catus (domestic cat) is the source of this 2759-nucleotide long non-coding RNA. RefSeq lists it as uncharacterized. The record is from RefSeq and is a predicted model, not a curated record. NCBI's taxonomy places the organism in Eukaryota, Metazoa, Chordata, Mammalia, Carnivora, Felidae. The transcript has 3 exons.